CCUAUGGGCGGCAGCAGUGGGGGAUAUUGCACAAUGGGGGAAACCCUGAUGCAGCGACGCCGCGUGGGUGAAGAAGCGCCUCGGCGCGUAAAGCCCUGUCAGCAGGGAAGAAAAUGACGGUACCUGAAGAAGAAGCCCCGGCUAACUACGUGCCAGCAGCCGCGGUACUACGUAGGGGGCAAGCGUUAUCCGGAUUUACUGGGUGUAAAGGGGGCGCAGACGGCGAUGCAAGCCAGGAGUGAAAGCCCGGGGCCCAACCCCGGGACUGCUCUUGGAACUGCGUGGCUAGAGUGCAGGAGGGGCAGGCGGAAUGCAUGGUGUAGCGGUGAAAGGCGUAGAUAUCAGGAGGAACACCGGUGGCGAAGGCGGCCUGCUGGACUGCAACUGACGUUGAGGCCCGAAAGCGUGGGGAGCAAACAGGAUUAGAUACCCGUGUAGUC
RNAcentral lists this ribosomal RNA (440 nucleotides) under uncultured bacterium. RNAcentral's name for it is "partial 16S ribosomal RNA". It matches the Rfam family "Bacterial small subunit ribosomal RNA", at positions 338 to 795 of the family's 1533-position model. The record is from RNAcentral.